GCACCCUUAGCUUAUCAGGAAAAGCGGCGGAUUGAAGUCCCGCAGUGCUCGGUUCGAUUCCGAGGGGGUGCACCA
RNAcentral lists this transfer RNA (75 nucleotides) under Vibrio phage KVP40. RNAcentral describes it as "tRNA-Phe". It matches the Rfam family "tRNA". From Rfam's summary of the family: Transfer RNA (tRNA) molecules are approximately 80 nucleotides in length. Their secondary structure includes four short double-helical elements and three loops (D, anti-codon, and T loops). Lineage: Duplodnaviria; Heunggongvirae; Uroviricota; Caudoviricetes; Pantevenvirales; Straboviridae. RNAcentral also lists the same sequence under 6 other names. The record is from RNAcentral.